RNAcentral lists this ribosomal RNA (516 nucleotides) under uncultured bacterium. Its description in RNAcentral is "bacterial SSU rRNA". It matches the Rfam family "Bacterial small subunit ribosomal RNA", at positions 9 to 526 of the family's 1533-position model. The record is from RNAcentral.
GAGUUUGAUCCUGGCUCAGGAUGAACGCUGGCGGCGUGCUUAACACAUGCAAGUCGAACGGGAAAUCUUUUAUUGAAGCUUCGGCAGAUAUAGAUUGUUUCUAGUGGCGGACGGGUGAGUAACGCGUGGGUAACCUGCCUUAUACAGGGGGAUAACAGUCAGAAAUGACUGCUAAUACCGCAUAAGCGCACAGAGCUGCAUGGCUCGGUGUGAAAAACUCCGGUGGUAUAAGAUGGACCCGCGUUGGAUUAGCUAGUUGGUGAGGUAACGGCCCACCAAGGCGACGAUCCAUAGCCGGCCUGAGAGGGUGAACGGCCACAUUGGGACUGAGACACGGCCCAGACUCCUACGGGAGGCAGCAGUGGGGAAUAUUGCACAAUGGGGGAAACCCUGAUGCAGCGACGCCGCGUGAAGGAAGAAGUAUCUCGGUAUGUAAACUUCUAUCAGCAGGGAAGAAAAUGACGGUACCUGACUAAGAAGCCCCGGCUAACUACGUGCCAGCAGCCGCGGUAAUAC